AACAGGAUUAGAUACCCUGGUAGUCCACGCCGUAAACGAUGUCGACUUGGAGGUUGUGCCCUUGAGGCGUGGCUUCCGGAGCUAACGCGUUAAGUCGACCGCCUGGGGAGUACGGCCGCAAGGUUAAAACUCAAAUGAAUUGACGGGGGCCCGCACAAGCGGUGGAGCAUGUGGUUUAAUUCGAUGCAACGCGAAGAACCUUACCUACUCUUGACAUCCAGAGAACUUAGCAGAGAUGCUUUGGUGCCUUCGGGAACUCUGAGACAGGUGCUGCAUGGCUGUCGUCAGCUCGUGUUGUGAAAUGUUGGGUUAAGUCCCGCGACGAGCGCAACCCUUAUCCUUUGUUGCCAGCGGUUAGGCCGGGAACUCAAAGGAGACUGCCAGUGAUAAACUGGAGGAAGGUGGGGAUGACGUCAAGUCAUCAUGGCCCUUACGAGUAGGGCUACACACGUGCUACAAUGGCAUAUACAAAGAGAAGCGACCUCGCGAGAGCAAGCGGACCUCAUAAAGUAUGUCGUAGUCCGGAUUGGAGUCUGCAACUCGACUCCAUGAAGUCGGAAUCGCUAGUAAUCGUGGAUCAGAAUGCCACGGUGAACACGUUCCCGGGCCUUGUACACACCGCCCGCCACACCAUGGGAGUGGGUUGCAAAAGAAGUAGGUAGCUUAACCUUCGGGAGGGCGCUUACCACUUUGUGAUUCAUGACUGGGGUGAAGUCGUAACAAGGUAACC
This 730-nucleotide ribosomal RNA is filed under the name uncultured bacterium. RNAcentral describes it as "bacterial SSU rRNA". It matches the Rfam family "Bacterial small subunit ribosomal RNA", at positions 771 to 1501 of the family's 1533-position model. The record is from RNAcentral.